UUAGCAAAUCAGUGGAUUUUGUCGACAUCGAAACCUCCCAGGGUAGAAAUACAGCAAGAGUAGGUAGUCGGAAAAUGUUAUUGGUUUGCUUUUUU
Molecule: signal recognition particle RNA, 95 nt
Filed under: Cytophagales bacterium
Lineage: Bacteria; Pseudomonadati; Bacteroidota; Cytophagia; Cytophagales
Description: signal recognition particle sRNA small type
Rfam family: Bacterial small signal recognition particle RNA
About the family: The signal recognition particle (SRP) is a universally conserved ribonucleoprotein involved in the co-translational targeting of proteins to membranes. Archaeal SRP consists of a 7S RNA and homologues of the eukaryotic SRP19 and SRP54 proteins.
Source: RNAcentral